Molecule: unclassified non-coding RNA, 2131 nt
Filed under: uncultured fungus
Lineage: Eukaryota; Fungi
Description: sequence contains 18S rRNA gene, ITS1, 5.8S rRNA gene, ITS2, 28S rRNA gene
Rfam family: Eukaryotic large subunit ribosomal RNA (bases 996-2131)
Source: RNAcentral
GGAAGGAUCAUUAACACGUUUAUAACGUUUAUCAACCUUUGUGACAGAGCCCUUUAAGUAGGACUUUGUAGGACUACCAUUUGGCAGUCCUACCCAGACCUAUUGGACUCAACCUUGGGCCUGGUAGGAAUUCGUACUACUACUCUGCCAAGGAUUGAGAAGACACCAUGAACUAUCAUAGCGAUUCGUACUUCGAUUGAGCCCCUAGUACUUUUGACCUAUGUGGGGAAUGGUGUCCUUCUCUUUCUACGGGAGAGCCGCAGCACGCUGACUUAUUGGUAGGAAUUCGUGCUACUUCCCUCUAUGCAGAACCACAUAGAGAUAGUAGCACCCUGACCUAUUGGUAGGAAUUUGUGCCUCAGUAGCACCCUGAACUAUGGGGGCCCAGCAUAAAAAAGCUAUUACAAUCAUUGUAAUAGUGUGUUCCAGUUCUUUGGGUAAUUGGGUUAACACACUCCCUUAUGAUGGCUGUAAUAGUCCACCCUUUUUCACCCCGUUGGAAUUCGACCUUAUACCCCAAAACUUACUUAAACAACUUUGUUUAAAAGAAUUGUCCUAGCGGCAUUCUUCCAAAGCAAAACGUGAACAACUGUUAACAACGGAUCUCUUGGUUCUCGCAACGAUGAAGAACGCAGCGAAAUGCGAUACGUAAUGCGAAUUGCAGAAUUCAGUGAAUCAUCAAAUCUUCGAACGCAGACUGCGGUUUUGGGAUAACCCUGAAACCACGCUUCUUUCAGUGUCGACUUACCCCUAAUCUGCCGCGUGCUGGUUCGCAUGGCGAUGCAGGAUAAUGAAUGUCAUGCUGCUCGUCGGUAUGUCAUUUGAAGUUCACUUGGGAAAUUGAUUAUUCAUUUUCAUCAGUGCUCAAUUCUAUAUUGACAAACUGGAUACUUUUCCCUUUACGGGAAUUCCAACUUGUCUUAUAGGGUUUGAUAAAAGUGAUUCUCAAAAUCUUGAGGUUUGGCGAACAUGGCUACCCUGUUCACUUUCAAUCUAGACCUGAAAUGAAGCGAGACUACCCGCUGAAUUUAAGCAUAUUAUUAAGCGGAGGAAAAGAAACUAACAAGGAUUCCCCUAGUAACGGCGAGUGAAGCGGGAAGAGCUCAAAAUGAAAAUCGGUUUCCCAAACGGGCCGCCGAGUUGUAAUCUAAAGACGCGUGGUCUGCGUGCGACCUGGGUAUAAGUCCUUUGGAACAGGGCAUCAUAGAGGGUGAGAAUCCCGUUUAUGACCUGGAGUUCGCCGCGUACGAUACGCGUUCGACGAGUCGUGUUGCCUGGGAUCGCAACACUAAAUGGGUGGUAAAUCUCAUCUAAAGCUAAAUACUGGCGAGAAACCGAUAGCGAACAAGUAGUGUGAACGAAAGAUGAAAAGAACUUUGAAAAGAGAGUUAAAAAGUACGUGAAAUUGUUAACAGGAAAGUUAUGGAAACCAGUCUAUCCAGAGGUAUAUUUACUAACUAAUCGGUCGCGGCGCAAGAGUAUGGCGGCUUUACGGCCCUGUUUCUUGCAUCGGUCAGAUUCGGGUAGUUGGGUACUGUAUCUCAGGCUGUGUCAGCAUCUCUUUGGGGUGCCGGAGAAGCCCUUCAGGAAGGUAGUAUUCAUGCAGUUUCGGCUGCAAGUUUAUGUUAAGCCUUUUGGGUUUACGGUGGCCUGGAGAGAGGAAAAGAUAAGGCACUCUACGGCACCAAGGCUCGGGGUGUCGCUCUAACUGGACAGCAAAGCUGUGCUUUUGGAACGAUGUCUUGUAUGCUGAGGAUUCGCUAGUCGUGUCUUAGCGAUGUUGACGAAAUGGUUUCCAUUGACCCGUCUUGAAACACGGACCAAGGAGUCUAACAUAUAUGCGAGUAUUUGGGUGUGUAAAACCCUAAUGCGAAAUGAAAGUAAAGGGGCCUUGUGCCCUGAGGUAGGAAUCCUUCUCUGGAGGGAGGCACUAUCGACCGAUCGCCGCUUGCGGUAGAUUUGAGUAAGAGCAUAUCUGUUGGGACCCGAAAGAUGGUGAUCUAUGCCUGAACAGGGUGAAGCCAGGGGAAACUCUGGUGGAAGCUCGUAGCGAUACUGACGUGCAAAUCGUUCGUCUGAUUUGGGUAUAGGGGCGAAAGACUAAUCGAACCAUCUAGUAGCUGGUUCCCUC